This 253-nucleotide ribosomal RNA is filed under the name uncultured bacterium. RNAcentral describes it as "partial 16S ribosomal RNA". It matches the Rfam family "Bacterial small subunit ribosomal RNA", at positions 524 to 776 of the family's 1533-position model. The record is from RNAcentral.
UCCGUAGGGUGCGAGCGUUAAUCGGAAUUACUGGGCGUAAAGCGUGCGCAGGCGGUGCGCCAAGCUCGAUGUGAAAGCCCCGGGCUUAACCUGGGAAUUGCAUUGAGGACUGGCGUGCUCGAGUGCGGCAGAGGGGGGUGGAAUUCCACGUGUAGCAGUGAAAUGCGUAGAGAUGUGGAGGAACACCGAUGGCGAAGGCAGCCCCCUGGGCCGACACUGACGCUCAGGCACGAAAGCGUGGGGAGAAAACAGG